AUUAUUAUUAUUAUUAUUAUUACUAUAUGUGUGUGAGUAUAUAUUUCCACAUUGGGGACAGUGUGACCCCUAAGACGUGGGAUGCAAGUUUUUUUUUUUACUGUGUGAGGACUACAGGACUUUUCACCGGGUCAAAAAGACCCCAGUCAUCACUGGGUCAAAAAGACCCCAGUCAGUACCCCAGUCAGUGUGACCCCUGAGACGUGGGAUGCAGGUUUAUUUUUUUAUUUAUUUUUAUUUUUAUUUUUUUUACUGUGUGAGGACUACAGGACCUUUCACUGGGUCAAAAAGACCCCAGUCAGUGCGGACUGGGACAGUGUGACCCUUGAGACAUGGGAUGUAGGUCUUAACUUGAGGACAACAGGAGGGUUAAAA
Non-coding RNA from Xyrichtys novacula (pearly razorfish), 375 nucleotides. Lineage: Eukaryota; Metazoa; Chordata; Actinopteri; Labriformes; Labridae. The record is from the annotation of a GenBank genome assembly.